RNAcentral lists this ribosomal RNA (443 nucleotides) under uncultured bacterium. RNAcentral's name for it is "partial 16S ribosomal RNA". It matches the Rfam family "Bacterial small subunit ribosomal RNA", at positions 338 to 795 of the family's 1533-position model. The record is from RNAcentral.
CCUACGGGAGGCAGCAGUGGGGAAUAUUGGGCAAUGGGCGCAAGCCUGACCCAGCAACGCCGCGUGAAGGAAGAAGGCCUUCGGGUUGUAAACUUCUUUUGUCAGGGACGAAGAAAUUGACGGUACCUUACGAAUAACCCACUGCUAACUACGUGCCAGCAGCCGCGGUAAUACGUUGGUGGCAAGCGUUAUCCCGAUUUCCUGGGUGUAAAGGGCGUGAAGGCGGGAGAGCAAGUCAGACGUGAAAUUCCAGUGCUCAACCCUGGAACUGCGUUUGAAACUGGUCUUCUUGCGGGAUGGAGAGGUAGGCGGAAUUCCGGGUGUAGCGGUGAAAUGCGUAGAUAUAAGGAGGAACACCAGUGGCGAAGGCGGCCUACUGGACAUUAACUGACGCUGAGGCGCGAAAGCGUGGGGAGCAAACAGGAUUAGAUACCCGGGUAGUC